This 133-nucleotide long non-coding RNA is filed under the name Fukomys damarensis (Damara mole-rat). RNAcentral's name for it is "lncRNA (ENSFDAG00000023783.1)". Lineage: Eukaryota; Metazoa; Chordata; Mammalia; Rodentia; Bathyergidae. The record is from RNAcentral.
CAGGGUGCUCUCUCCAGCUUCUAGCAAGCAGAGAAGAAACUCUGACAUUAGAAGGAGGGCAAACAGGUCCCAGGAGGAAGAAAUUCUUAAGGAGACACCGAGGAACGUAUUUGCACCUGACUAAAAAGCCCCA